UGACGAGAUAGCCAAGCCCGGUAUGGCGCGGGAUUGCUAAUCCCGUGAUGCUCCGCAUCCCGGGGGUUCGAGUCCCCCUCUCGUCGU
RNAcentral lists this transfer RNA (87 nucleotides) under Methanosarcina mazei. RNAcentral's name for it is "tRNA-Ser". It matches the Rfam family "tRNA". From Rfam's summary of the family: Transfer RNA (tRNA) molecules are approximately 80 nucleotides in length. The record is from RNAcentral. RNAcentral also lists the same sequence under 1 other name. Lineage: Archaea; Methanobacteriati; Methanobacteriota; Methanomicrobia; Methanosarcinales; Methanosarcinaceae.